GACGUAGGAUGCGAGCGUUAUUCGGAUUUAUUGGGCGUAAAGCGUGCGUAGGCGGCUGUUUAAGUCUGGUGUUAAAGCUAGGGGCUCAACCCCUGUGAUGCACUGGAAACUGGGCAGCUUGAGUGCGGUAGGGGAAGGUGGAAUUCCGAGUGUAGCGGUGAAAUGCGUAGAGAUCGGAAAGAACACCAACGGCGAAAGCACUCUGCUGGGCCGACACUGACACUGAGAGACGAAAGCUAGGGGAGCGAAUGGG
Molecule: ribosomal RNA, 253 nt
Filed under: uncultured bacterium
Lineage: Bacteria
Description: partial 16S ribosomal RNA
Rfam family: Bacterial small subunit ribosomal RNA
Source: RNAcentral